Molecule: unclassified non-coding RNA, 348 nt
Filed under: soil metagenome
Description: partial contains 5.8S ribosomal RNA, internal transcribed spacer 2, and large subunit ribosomal RNA
Rfam family: 5.8S ribosomal RNA (bases 5-121)
Source: RNAcentral
GAUGGAAGAACGCAGCGAAAUGCGAUAAAUAAUGUGAAUUGCAGAAUUCAGUGAAUCAUCGAGUCUUUGAACGCACAUUGCGCCCCCUGGUAUUCCGGGGGGCAUGCCUGUCCGAGCGUCAUUGCUGCCCUCAAGCACGGCUUGUGUGUUGGGCCCCCGUCCCCCCCUCCCGGGGGACGGGCCCGAAAGGCAGCGGCGGCACCGCGUCCGGUCCUCGAGCGUAUGGGGCUUUGUCACCCGCUCUGUAGGCCCGGCCGGCGCCUGCCGACCACCAUCAAUCUUUUUUCAGGUUGACCUCGGAUCAGGUAGGGAUACCCGCUGAACUUAAGCAUAUCAAUAAGCGGAGGA